Musca domestica (house fly) is the source of this 1348-nucleotide long non-coding RNA. RefSeq lists it as uncharacterized. Lineage: Eukaryota; Metazoa; Arthropoda; Insecta; Diptera; Muscidae. The transcript has 2 exons. The record is from RefSeq and is a predicted model, not a curated record.
GAAUGCGAUAUCGACUCGAAGAGAAUCCAGACAGAUAUAAGUUGUCGUUGAUUACCGCCACCAAUUACAGACGGCUGGCUGGGUUAGUAGCGAAUGAUAUUGACCGAAACCUAUCGAACACGAUCCUAUGUCUGGUGUGGUUGAGCUACAAGUGCACAGUGCACUUUUCAUUGGCCCAUCGAUUUUCGGUUUCUUGGCCGCAAUCAUAGUCUAACGCAAUGACAGACAGUAGUUAGUUGUACAUACAUAUGUUUAUAUAAUGUAUGGGUAUAUUUUUGAUAGCAACAUGUAUUUCGAUAUUGUUUUGAGUUUUUGGUUGCACUCUUAGUUUGGCAUUAGCGGGUAAAUGAAUACCGGUUUGAGGUUUGUAGCCAGACAUUUGAGAAUUGUGAGUGCGGUUAUAAUUUGGCUUUGCGUUUCAGUUUCUGCUACAGACAUUCUUAAAAAGGAACACACACACGCACCAAAUGUAAGUUCAAAACUAAUAAUGCUUACAAAUUUCCAAGACGCUUAAAUAGCAACCUACGAACGAAAUUUUGCCAGAUUUCGUUGUUUGUUCUGGUUGGGAAAUAAACAACGUUCAUUACGGAAAUUCUACAUACACUAAGUCUGUUUGAUGUAAACAUUUCAACAUCAUAUAUCUUAGUUGGACGAAGUUAAGUGAGAACCCACAAUGUCAAAUUACAGUCAGUUGACUACAAAUUUGGGCCUAAACUCUGAAAAUUCCAAACAUAGGAGAACAUUUGGAGUCGAUCUAGCGAUGUUCGUCCUUCUGCCCGUCUGUCUGGCUGACUGGUGCGCACGAUAACUCUUGAAGGGAGUAUCCGAUUUGGUCCAUUUUUGUCAAACUUAGAUCGAGUUCGGAGAUGAGCAAUAUCGGUUCACUCCUUCUGGUACCUCCCUCACAAAAGGCCGAAAUUUUCAAAAAAAAAAAAAAAACAUAUUUUCUGGACAGAAAGAGAAACGUUAAACCAAUUUUACCCCAACUUUGCAAAUCCUAAUAUUUGCGUCAGUGCUAGGUCAGGUGCGAAAAUGGACAAUACAGUAGACCCACUCUAUGAAGUACCUCCCCCACAAAGGGUAAAUAUUUUGAAUAACUACAACUCUUAUAAAGUGUGAUGUGACAAUAUCGGUCAACUCCAUCAGUGCCUCUCCCACAAAGGGCCAAAAUUGUGAAUAAUUACAACUCUAAUAAAAUAUGAUGUAAAAGUCCGAUUGUCUUCAAAUUUCCCACAUCAUAAUAUUUUUAUGAACCCGUGAUCUGGUAUUAAGAAUAAUAGAAUUAAGGAAUAAAAGGUCGAAAUUUUGAAUAUCCAUUAAGCUCAUAAAAAGCGAAAUUAACAUCCGA